GUGAGGAAUAUUGGUCAAUGGGCGGGAGCCUGAACCAGCCAAGUCGCGUGAAGGAAGAAGGAUCUAUGGUUCGUAAACUUCUUUUGCAGGGGAAUAAAGUGCAGGACGUGUCCUGUUUUGUAUGUACCCUGAGAAUAAGGAUCGGCUAACUCCGUGCCAGCAGCCGCGGUAAUACGGAGGAUCCGAGCGUUAUCCGGAUUUAUUGGGUUUAAAGGGUGCGUAGGUGGUUUGAUAAGUCAGCGGUGAAAGUUUGUAGCUUAACUGUAAAAAUGCCGUUGAAACUGUCGGACUUGAGUGUAAAUGAGGUAGGCGGAAUGCGUGGUGUAGCGGUGAAAUGCAUAGAUAUCACGCAGAACUCCGAUUGCGAAGGCAGCUUACUAAGCUACAACUGACACUGAAGCACGAAAGCGUGGGGAUCAAACAGGAUUAGAUACCCGGGUAGUCC
This 445-nucleotide ribosomal RNA is filed under the name uncultured bacterium. RNAcentral's name for it is "partial 16S ribosomal RNA". It matches the Rfam family "Bacterial small subunit ribosomal RNA", at positions 354 to 796 of the family's 1533-position model. The record is from RNAcentral.